CCUGCAGCCAGGCUCUGACAAGCCAGCACUGGUGGACGUGGGUGCGGAGCGGCCCUCGCUGGGAACCGCCCCGGCCCCGCCGGCUCCUCCUCCGGGCAGGCCCGGGCACUGCACGGGAGAACGGGCGACACCAGCCGGGGCUCCUCCCCACACCCGCGCAGGCCUGGCAGGGCGCGCGGCUGCCCGGCCUACACGUGGCGCCCUAACUUGUGCGAAAUUCCAGCGGCCUGAGAACACUCCGGAGUGCACCAGUGAGAACCAGGAGAGCCUCGGAGACAAAAACACUCUGCAAGCCCCACCGAAACCCCAAGGAAGGAAUCGGUGCGCCUGCCUGUCACUGUCCUCUUUAUGGAAGAAGACGGAGGGACUCCUGAAAUGUCUGGAAAUUCUGCUCAGCAUUCGGGGGCACCCCCACCCUGGAACUCAGUCCCUUGGGCGCAGCAAAGAAACGGAUUUAGAGUCAAGACCACUAGGACGCAGGCCAGCCAGAAGAAGAAAGAAAUGCAAGAGGAAGAGCAGAACUGAGUGCUGAAGUGCUAGAACCUUCUGGAGCCUUCUGGAACCUGGAAAGACUGGUCCAAACCCAGUUUAACCACUUCCUAGCUGUGCGACCAUGAGCCUUGCCCAUCUGUAAACUGGGAAGUUUGUUUUGAGACCGGAGAUAACACACAUAAUAUAACUGGACCACCAGAGACGUCUGCCAGGCAGAGGCAGAGCGGCCUCCCACUUCUUUAGUGCACGCCUCGGGCAAACUGAUCCCAGCGGCAAACCAUCGCACCGGAAAAACAGGUAGGGACGCUCGCUCCGGCUCGGCAGCCAGUCGCCAGGAGUUUCGGAAAGUGCAGCAGUCAGCACUUAGCGGCGAUUUUGCACUCAACAGCACCGAGCCAGGUGGGGACGACUCGGGG
This 908-nucleotide long non-coding RNA is filed under the name Heterocephalus glaber (naked mole-rat). RNAcentral's name for it is "lncRNA (ENSHGLG00100049489.1)". The record is from RNAcentral. Lineage: Eukaryota; Metazoa; Chordata; Mammalia; Rodentia; Bathyergidae.